UUGCCUGCUUGUUGCCUGUAGGCCAGCUAACCCUACGAAAACAAACGGCUUGAGCGGCACUUUGGGUUAGCAUCUCAGUUUUUGGAUCCAGCUUCCCAGGGCUGAAGACGCCGCGGUUAUAUAAAAGCUCGUCUGAAUGUGUUGAGACAGGAGCAGCUUGAGCUCUUAAUGCAACCCUCUCUCCUCACUAGGAACAAGAAUGUCCGACGCGGCUAACGUCACUUCAACAAACAACGGAGACUCGGGGCUUAAUGGGUCCUGGGUAGAGUUGGAGAUGAACAGAAAUCAUCAGGCUCAGUCCUCCUCAACAGCUGGGCCGGCCCCGGGCCUGCUGCCCCUCCCUCAGGUGGAGGAAGAGGAGGCCAUAGUGGGGGGGUUGGAGCAUGUCCCAUCAUCCUCCUCGAUCCACAAUGGAGACAUGGAGAAGAUCCUACUGGACGCCCAACACGAGUCGAGCCGCAGCAACUCCUCCUGUGACAGCCCCCCGCGGCCCCACUCCCCCCAGGACGAGGGACAGAUUGUCUUCGACGUGGACACGACCAGCAGAAGAGACAGUCAGUCUGAAGAGGAUGUCUUGGAUAAGGACAGGGACAUGGACAUCCUGAUGAAGGACGCAGAUUGGGUUGCCAACUGGUCCAGUCGACCGGAAAACAUUCCCCCCAAGGAGUUUCAUUUCCGCCACCCUCGCCGCUCAGUGACGCUCAGCAUGAGAAAGACCGGGGCCAUGAAGAAAGGAGGGAUCUUCUCUGCCGAGUUUCUCAAGGUCUUCAUCCCCUCGCUGCUGCUAUCUCACAUCCUCGCUCUGGGCCUGGGUGAGGGGCGGCGGGCAUAGAGAAGUAACUUUUGCAGUUUGAGACCACAAGCCAUGGAGGGACAAAGCAUGUAUUUGGAAGACGAUACUCUGCAGGGAUAGGGAGGCUGGUCAGAGUUGAUGAGAAGAUGGAUGGAGAGAAAUACAGGUGUCUACAUCGGAAAGAGGUUGACCACGCCGCCGGCGAGCUCUUUCUGAACCUGAAACUGAAGAAAAGUGCCUGAGAAGUUGCCAUGAGCCAUUUAUGGAAGAAGUUUUGCUGUUGUGAGAAGAUUGCCCAUCUCUUAUCCCUCUUUCUCUCCUGCUUGCCUCCUUUCCCCUCCUACUCCACGUUGAGAUAUGACUUUGCUUUUUUUACUCGUCUUUUCCCAGUGUCCUCCCUCUGUUUUUCCUAAUCAGCUUUCCAAGCCUGAUUGAGGUCCUGUUUUUUUCUGUGAAUGGGUAAUAAGCUUAUAACGGGUGGGUUUACUGGGAGGGUUGCAGCGAUAAACUAAACUCCUCUUUCUCUACAUGUGAUUAUCUGAAAGCAGAGACUGACCAGAGAUUGUGCCACCUGCGUGAAGUAGCCCAGCACUCGAUCACGACCAAAUUCAGACUGAAAUGCAGACUGAAAAUGUGAUCACGCCUUUUUCUUUUCUUUUUUUUUUAGUCCUGAAAGUGGCCAUUUUGUUUUUUUCUUUAGCUAAUAUUGCCUAUUUUAUUUAUUUUGCAACCAGUUGUUGUCCAUAAAGACAUUUUGAACACAGCCAACUCAAACGUGACCUUUUUAUUCUGACCAGUUCUGAGACAAGAAGCAGGAAGAAGUCUCGCCUCUAAAACAAACUGCGCGCCACUCUGACACCAACUGGAAACCAGUUUGGGUUGCCCAUCUGUGCAGCUUGUCCAAGUCUUACGCUCUUAUUUUAAUCGACUCUUUCCUGAAUGUUUUUCAGUAAGAAAAUAUUUCACAAAACAAUUUAUUUUUCUCCUGUAGAGCAUAUUGCUUUAGGAGAUGCUUUUGUCUGAGGAAAGCAACAGUCCUGCACUCCAGCGUGUGUCAUAAGCAGUGAAAUACUCCACGAACCUGCAGAUGAAAUAACGUGACUCACACGACGCUGCGACGGAGCAGCAGCCGCAGCAGGGGUACAGACUUCACAUAGUUGAUGUUUGGCCUCAAAGUCUGGAGCUGUUGCAGUAAAACGUCCAGCGUCAAACGCUGACCGCUGGCCUCUGGUAUGUUUGGAGUUUUGUUCUGGCUGGACUGCAGCAGCUUCAGUAAAGCAGAACCCGGACAGGAACUGGGUCCACCAAGAACUACAGGUGCAUCUCAAUAGAAACUUAAACAUUCCACUAAUUUUUUUCCCAUAAUAAGUAGAUGAAUUUCACACACAGUGAUGUAUUUCAAGUGGGUUUUUUUCUGUGAAUUUGGAUGAUUUUCGUUUACAGCGGAUAAAAAAAAACAAAACAACAUUUCGUUUUUCAGACAUUAGACCAUUAAAUAGGAGCAACAGAAAAGGGGGGUUUGGAUACAGAAAUGUGGGCUAACUGAAAAGUAUUUCCUUGAGUUUGGACUUGAUAAAACAAAGUGGACCAACACCAGCGGAUGAUAAGGAUCCACAAAUUAUCACCUCCAGCACUUUGGAGUCUGUGCCUCUCUGAAGGUUGCUGCGCAGUUUUAAAAAGCCUGGAAAAGUAUGGAAGUUGAUUUUCUAGGUCUGGAAAAGUAUUAAAAAAAAGUUAUUUCUUAUUUAAUUACCUAAAGGAUAAACAUCUGAAUGUAUGAAUAGUAAAGGCCUAUUUACUUUAAUUAUAUUUAAAUUAUCCUUUACCUUUGUUACCUCAUCAGUGUUUGUCCAUUUCUAAUAAUCAUUUUGGGGUUGGAGUUGGUGACAUAAUCCACAGCUUCGUUUUCAUCUCCAGAUCUUCUUAGAUCGAGUUUAAACUGAACCUGUGGUUCCAAGCAGUGAAACCAAAUCAGGGUUUCACAGAUAACAAACGUCUUUCUCCUCAAAUGUCUAGAAUGUUAUAAAAAAUCUAGAAAUUUAGCUGGGACCCUGUUCCCCACUCUUCUUCCAGACUCUGGGACUUUGAUUUUCAAAUAAAUUGCAACAUUUGUUUUCAUCUGAAUAACAGUCCAGUCGUUUUUGCAUUAGCCCAGGUAGGACGCUUCUGACGUCUCUGAUUCAGGAGUUGCAAAAUCCAGUGAUGAAUUAGUUUCAGCCGAAGUCCUGUACACGUCUUGUGGCUCUUUAAGCUUCAACUCACUUGAACCCACUGUCAGCCCCAAACCUCUUUAGCAGUGACUUUUUGUGGCUUACCCUUGUGAAGGCUGUCGAUCACUAGCUGCUGGAGAACUGUCACGGCAGCAGCCUGCUCCAUGAUUCUGGUGGUCGUAACAUACCGUUCAAAUAUUUUAUUGGUCUUUUUAUUCUGAAUUUCCAAGGAACCGAAUUUCCGGUUUCCAUUAACUGAUAGUCAAAAUCCUCCAAAUGAACACAAAUUGGUGCUGUUUGUUUUAGUUUGUUGAGAUGUACCUGUUUUAGGAGUUGCACAGUGUGGGUUUGCCCUGCACCAUCAGCAGAUACAUUUUAUUUUAGGAGGAAACUGAUAAAAAGUUUGAGAAUUUCUUCUUUUUUUUGCACUUGUUGGAUGAAACAAAUCAUCCCCUAUUAGAAGAUUUGAUUUUACGAUAUGAACGAAGACAAGACAAACAAACUCAGCAGGCCUCUUCAUUAAAACGUUUUAACAACCAGCUGAUGCUAACCGCCUGUUUUUAUUUGCAGCCCCCCUGGGCUUGUGGUUGUAUUUGUUCAUGCUGCGUUUAAACCUUAUAUUUUGUAUUCUUUCCUGUUAUUUGUUUUAAAUCGUUUUUGGUUGGGGUUUUUUUUCUGCUGUUGGAGAGAUUGUAAAUGCACAGAUUGGGAAUCAAGCUUGACAGGAAUAUGUUUAAAAAGUGGGAAAAUAGAACUCCUUUCCGUUGAUGGCAGGGACUGUUGGAAGGAAAAGAAAAGUGUGGAAAGAGAUUUCCUCCUUAAGACUGUGAUGGUCUGAAAGUAGUUAUUGUAACGAUGCAGUUGCUUUAAUUUUUUUUUCAGCUACAUUGAAGACAUUGAUAAACAUUUUGUCAAUAAAAGAUGACCUGAGUGAAAAUCUU
This is an RNA transcript of Girardinichthys multiradiatus, 3944 nucleotides long. It is a transcript of the gene named BCL2 interacting protein 3 like b, with no coding region annotated. Lineage: Eukaryota; Metazoa; Chordata; Actinopteri; Cyprinodontiformes; Goodeidae. The record is from RefSeq and is a predicted model, not a curated record. The transcript has 8 exons.